This 283-nucleotide long non-coding RNA is filed under the name Ananas comosus (pineapple). Its description in RNAcentral is "long non-coding RNA (ACOM_LNC017173)". The record is from RNAcentral. Lineage: Eukaryota; Viridiplantae; Streptophyta; Magnoliopsida; Poales; Bromeliaceae.
ACUUAUAUAUAAUUUAUGUUCAAAUACUAUUUGAAUCGCUUUUAAUCAGAUUAGCUAACCCAAUCUAACCCAUUACAACACCACCUUCGACAAUAUCUUAAUACACCGACAAUAUGCAGCACAGUUAGGUAAGAACUUAAUGGAUGAUACUAAAGAUCCCAAGUUUGAGCGUAGUUGCUUCACAUUUCUGACUGAGUUCGCUUGUAAUAAAUGACAAUAUCUUAUUACAUAAUUACGAUUAUGCAACAUUCCAAACUUUUCAUGUAAAAUUAACUUUAUAUAU